CCUACGGGUGGCAGCAGUGGGGAAUAUUGCGCAAUGGGCGAAAGCCUGACGCAGCGACGCCGCGUGAGGGAUGAAGGUCUUCGGAUCGUUAACCUCUGUCAGCAGGGAAGAACGGUCACUGUGCUAAUCAGCAGUGAAUUGACGGUACCUGCAAAGGACGCACAGGCUAACUCCGUGCCAGCAGCCGCGGUAAUACGGAGGGUGCGAGCGUUAAUCGGAAUUACUGGGCGUAAAGCGCUCGUAGGUGGUAUGUCAAGUCAAGGGUGAAAUCCCCGGGCUCAACGUGGGAACUGCCUUUGAAACUGGCAAACUGGAGUGUGUGAGAGGAAAGUGGAAUUCCAGGUGUAGGAGUGAAAUCCGUAGAUAUCUGGAGGAACAUCAGUGGCGAAGGCGACUAUCUGGCACAUAACUGACGCUGAGGAGCGAAAGCGUGGGUAGCAAACAGGAUUAGAUACCCGUGUAGUC
RNAcentral lists this ribosomal RNA (465 nucleotides) under uncultured bacterium. RNAcentral describes it as "partial 16S ribosomal RNA". It matches the Rfam family "Bacterial small subunit ribosomal RNA", at positions 338 to 795 of the family's 1533-position model. The record is from RNAcentral.